GUUGGCAAACAGUAAUGGGAGUUUUUAGUUGCUCUUUAAUACAUACAUUGUCCUUAAACAAGAAUAGCAAAUAACUCUGAACUAAUAGAUGGAAUACAAUUCAACAAGCCUUUAACAUAUAGAUAUUGGGUGAUGUUUUGGGAAUUGAAUAUUUCACAGCCCAAACUAAAGGGAUUUGUAAAUAAUAGAAGAAGCAGGCAUAAAAUUAACCAUUAUGCAAACUAUGGUAUGAUUCCUAAAUGAUAUGUUAAAAUAAGAAACCAAAUUAGUACUAUUACUGGGACAUAGAGUGACAAUUCUUCCAAUAAGAACUACAGAAGCCUUACCAGCAAUGGCACUUGAACUGGACAUUGAAAAUGGCUAAUACUCAACAUGCUGCAAAGGACACUCAGGGCAGGAUCUGAGAUAGUAAAGACCAUGUUUAGAGUAUAGUCUGUGGUACCCAGGGCCCAGAAGUCUCACCAGCCACAGGGGCCUGGGUCAUGGUGUUGUCCAUGAUCUAAUUGUGAAGACACCAGUCUUCCAUGUUGAGGAGUUUGGAUGUUAUUUUGUGUGUGAUUGCGAUCCUCAAAGAAUUCAGUUGAAAACUAGAUCUACAUUUAGAAAACUAAAAUAAUAGACUGAAGAAGUUGGUGUGAAGUGAGGAUAUGACAUAAGUAGGCUGUUUAAUCUGUGCUACGGAGCAAUGAGAACCUGAUCUUUGGAAGUUGCAGCUGAAAUGUGAAAAAUAUGUACUGUAAAAAUGCACUUAUUCCUGAAUAAGUAAAUUGUUCUCUCUUAAUCUGAUUCUUCAGAAUAGUUACUGACUGUAUCAACCAUCAGAUGCUACUAGUGAGGAAAAAAAAUAUAGUAGGUAAGUAGGUUCAGUAAGACAGUUACAAAUUAUGUUGGCCAAAGAAGCAUGUAUGUUUUUACCAAUGAUGCUUAUUUGUACAUCUGAUACUCUUCAUAAUAACAUUAUGUUGGGGAAAAAUAUGAUAUUAAAAAUAACAAUGAAAAGUAGGAUUGAUCUCUUGCCCAUUGAAGCAAAUUUAGCAAAUUGUUAAUAUUUUUAAAAUCAUAGUUUAUGUCUAUAAUUUUGUUUUCUACAUGUUUAAAUAGUCCACAUUUAAAAUAAUGGAUUUAGUUUCCAACAAUGCUUGUUUGAAACAGUGUAUAUUUUGUAAGUUUCAGAUAAUGUAUACAUUUAAAAACCCAUUUCACUGCUUAAAAACAAAAAUUAAACAUCUGAAUUUUAUGAUUUUUUAGGACUUUUAACCUUAUAUAAAUGCAACAUUUAUGUUGGAGAACGAGGGAAGAAAGUUUAUUAAACAUAUUAUUGAUGUUAUGAACUUAAAACUGCAUGAUAAUUCUUCUUAGCAUGUUUUACUGCACAAAGCAGGUGAUGAAAUUCUAAGUAUCAAAAGAUUAAAAGUAUUAUAAUCAAACCUAAAUUAGUUUCAAGGCUUACAGACCCCUUGAUGUCAAGGACACUGUGCCUCUCCAUCUGCACUAGCUGCAACAUUAUAGCAGGACUUGCCUGGACUGGAGUGCAUCUAAUACUUCUUGCAUGCAGGGAUGAAAUACAAGUUUUUGAAAUGACUUUUCUCAAGACUUCUGGGAAAUGUCAAUAAAAAGUAUUGUUAAUCCACCCAACAAGUAAAUAUCCUAUCACUGAAAGAAUGAAUUUAACUUGAAAACCUCUAAGACAUCAGAUAAUUUCCAGAACCAUUCUAUUGCUUACAUAAGUAGCUUUAUACUUUCAGAUCUAAAUAUGGGUUGAAAAUUUGAAAUAAAUUCAUUAAUACAUUUGUAAGCACGAUUUAGUUUAUUAACUUGAACAAAUCAUUUAACAAUUAUUAGGUACUUAUAGAGCAGGCCUAUUUGAAUUUUAGUGAUUAUGGCUUUUCCAGAACUUCUAUACUUGAAUUCUGAGGCCCCCUUUUCUGUGCUAUCUCCAAACCAUAUUAUUUUGAAAUUGAGUAACUUAUACUUUCCUUUUUUAUUGGGCAGUUAUUCAGGUUAUUUAUUGAAUAGAACAGUUUGUUGUUGACAAUCUCAGCAAAGAGUUCUCUGACAACAGAGGGGAGGAAAAUAGAAUGUCAAUCUGAGAUAGCUAUGUAUUUGUGAAAGUCUAACUGCAAGAAGAAGUUGAUCUUGGACAAAAAUGCAAAUAAUGCCAUUAUUAUUAAUGAGUAUAUACAGUGUCAAAAAUCCAAGUUCUUCCAUGUGUUUGGUUUAUGCAUUAUUUCUAUGAGGAGAGAGGAAUGAGGGGGUUGAAAUCAGAGAUGGGGAGGGGAGUUACUUUGGUGUAAUAACAGCCAUUGAGCUUUAGCUCUUAGGAGUGUGUGCUGGUGACCCUGCAGGUCAAACUAAGUUUAGAGCAAGUGAGUCAGUUAACUUCCCAAGAUGAUACUGGGUUCAUUCUCUCUAUAUGCAACAAAAUACUAGGUUUUCUGAAAUUCUCACAGCAUUGAAAACACCAUUGCAAUUAUUUCAGAGCUCAUCAUCCAUUCUGGUAGGAAUUAUUAUUAAGGGAAACAGGAAGACUUUGAGCUGCAUGGACUGAGUCUCUAACUGCAUCAUGCCUGAUGGAGAGAGAAGAGGUUACUAAUGGCCCACCUACCCAUGGGGGCUAGGGCCAUUUAUUAGCAAAACGACAACUUUAAAUAACUGUGUCUCAAACAAUCCAUCCUUGAAUAAAGGAGGGAUGGCCAAUGUCUACCAGUCUUUAAUACAAAGGUUAAAUUUUGGAAAGCUGAUUACACCUGAGAACAAUUAGCUAAUAAUUCCCCUGAGUAUUUUCAUGAAAUCUAUGUACUGGUAGUUCCUUUGGCUCAAGGUGUUCUUUAUGAACAAGACAAAAAUUAAAUGACUAUAUGUAGUGUUUUGAUGACUCAGUCAGUGGCAAAUAUGAUUCCACUGAACUGACAGCUGAGUUAUCUGUAGCACAUUUAGAUUUCAGGUAUAUAAACUUGUUUAGGAGUUUGAUUUUCC
This 2976-nucleotide long non-coding RNA is filed under the name Homo sapiens (human). Its description in RNAcentral is "HSALNT0122606". The record is from RNAcentral. Lineage: Eukaryota; Metazoa; Chordata; Mammalia; Primates; Hominidae.